CCUACGGGUGGCAGCAGUAGGGAAUCUUCCACAAUGGACGAAAGUCUGAUGGAGCAACGCCGCGUGAGUGAAGAAGGGUUUCGGCUCGUAAAGCUCUGUUGGUAGGGAAGAAAGAUAGAGGUAGUAACUGGCCUUGAGUGGACGGUAAGUACGGAGAAAGGCACGGCUAACUACGUGCCAGCAGCCGCGGUAAUACGUAGGUGGCAAGCGUUGGCCGGAUUUAUUGGGCGUAAAGCGAGUGCAGGCGGUUCAAUAAGUCUGCUUUGAAAGCCUUCGGCUCAACCGGAGAAUUGCAUCAGAACCUUUUGAACUUGCGUGCAGAAGAGGCGAGUGGCACUCCAUUUGUAGCGGUGGAAUGCGUAGAUAUAUGG
RNAcentral lists this ribosomal RNA (371 nucleotides) under uncultured bacterium. Its description in RNAcentral is "partial 16S ribosomal RNA". It matches the Rfam family "Bacterial small subunit ribosomal RNA", at positions 338 to 701 of the family's 1533-position model. The record is from RNAcentral.